GACGAACGCUGGCGGCGUGCCUAAUACAUGCAAGUAGAACGCUGAAGGAGGAGCUUGCUCUUCUGGAUGAGUUGCGAACGGGUGAGUAACGCGUAGGUAACCUGCCUGGUAGCGGGGGAUAACUAUUGGAAACGAUAGCUAAUACCGCAUAAGAGUAGAUGUUGCAUGACAUUUACUUAAAAGGUGCAAUUGCAUCACUACCAGAUGGACCUGCGUUGUAUUAGCUAGUUGGUGGGGUAACGGCUUACCAAGGCGACGAUACAUAGCCGACCUGAGAGGGUGAUCGGCCACACUGGGACUGAGACACGGCCCAGACUCCUACGGGAGGCAGCAGUAGGGAAUCUUCGGCAAUGGACGGAAGUCUGACCGAGCAACGCCGCGUGAGUGAAGAAGGGUUUCGGAUCGUAAAGCUCUGUUGUAAGAGAAGAACGAGUGUGAGAGUGGAAAGUUCACACUGUGACGGUAUCUGACCAGAAAGGGACGGCUAACUACGUG
RNAcentral lists this ribosomal RNA (495 nucleotides) under uncultured bacterium. RNAcentral describes it as "partial 16S ribosomal RNA". It matches the Rfam family "Bacterial small subunit ribosomal RNA", at positions 28 to 507 of the family's 1533-position model. The record is from RNAcentral.